Molecule: long non-coding RNA, 1170 nt
Filed under: Salmo salar (Atlantic salmon)
Lineage: Eukaryota; Metazoa; Chordata; Actinopteri; Salmoniformes; Salmonidae
Description: lncRNA (ENSSSAG00000120703.1)
Source: RNAcentral
CGGUAAUGCUGCAAUCAGUUGAUUGUAAUUUUGGAUUGAGCAAACAUUCCCAUUUACAUUGCCCUCCAUAAUUAUUGGGACAGUGAAGAUUUUUUUUGUCUUUGGCUCUAUACUUCAUAAGUUUGGAUUUUAAAUUAAACAACGACCAUAUGAGGUUAAAGUGCAGAUUGUCAGAUUUAAUUUGAGGGUAUUUUCAUCCAUAUCGGUUGAAGAGUUUCGAAAUUACGGCACUUCUUGUACGUAGUGAUGAAUUGUGAAAUGAUGAUGAGUGAGAAAGUUACAGAUGCACAAAUAUCAUACCCCUCCCCAAAAAAUGCUAACCUCCCCUGUUAUUGUAUUGGUGAGAGGUUAGCAUGUCUUGGGGGUAUGAUAUAAAAUGCUAACCUCCCCUGUUAUUGUAAUGGUGAGAGGUUAGCAUGUCUUGGGGGUAUGAUAUAAAAUGCUAACCUCCCCUGUUAUUGUAUUGGUGAGAGGUUAGCAUGUCUUGGGGGUAUGAUAUAAAAUGCUAACCUCCCCUGUUAUUGUAAUGGUGAGGGGUUAGCAUGUCUUGGUGGUAUGAUAUAAAAUGCUAACCUCCCCUGUUAUUGUAUUGGUGAGAGGUUAGCAUGUCUUGGGGGUAUGAUAUAAAAUGCUAAUCUCCCCUGUUGUUGUAUUGGUGAGAGGUUAGCAUGACUUGGGGGUAUGAUAUAAAUUGCUAACCUCCCAUGUUAUUGUAAUGGUGAGAGGUUAGCAUGUCUUGGGGGUAUGAUAUAAAAUGCUAAUCUCCCCUGUUGUUGUAUUGGUGAGAGGUUAGCAUGUCUUGGGGGUAUGAUAUAAAAUGCUUACCUCCCCUGUUAUUGUAUUGGUGAGAGGUUAGCAUGUCUUGGGGGUAUGAUGAUCAUUCUUAGUAAUCUACUGGAGAACCAGUUCGGGUUUAAGUAUGCUUCUGUAUGAGUGAAGCUUUUAGUGAGAGGUUUAAUACUUUAAUAUACUUUAAUAAUUUCAGCCCUCAGAAUUUGUAUUCAUGAUAUAAGUAGGCAUGUUUAAUUUUGUCUGGUUUAGAGUUCCAAAUAAAGUGAAAUAUUUUUUGCUCAUAUGAUUUAAAAAGGGAAUUGUCUGGAGUAGUCGGAUCCAUAAGUAAUCUGGAAUAUGACUAAAGAGUUAAUCAGGAUGAAUUUCCCACCAUGGUAG